GAAUUGGUAGCUCAGUUGGUUAGAGUGCUGCUUUGACAUGGCAGAGGUCGCCGGUUCGAGUCCGGCUCAGUUCAC
RNAcentral lists this transfer RNA (75 nucleotides) under Bacteroidia bacterium. RNAcentral describes it as "tRNA-Val". It matches the Rfam family "tRNA". Rfam says of the family: Transfer RNA (tRNA) molecules are approximately 80 nucleotides in length. Their secondary structure includes four short double-helical elements and three loops (D, anti-codon, and T loops). Further hydrogen bonds mediate the characteristic L-shaped molecular structure. tRNAs have two regions of fundamental functional importance: the anti-codon, which is responsible for specific mRNA codon recognition, and the 3' end, to which the tRNAs corresponding amino acid is attached (by aminoacyl-tRNA synthetases). tRNAs cope with the degeneracy of the genetic code in two manners: having more than one tRNA (with a specific anti-codon) for a particular amino acid; and 'wobble' base-pairing, i.e. permitting non-standard base-pairing at the 3rd anti-codon position. The record is from RNAcentral. Lineage: Bacteria; Pseudomonadati; Bacteroidota; Bacteroidia.